GGAGUUGUUGGGAGAAUUGCUGCAGAUUAUUGCCCUGAGAUUCAGAAAGGGAAAAAACCACCACCACAAGUAACAGGUAUCAAACUGAUGGGAAGCUGAGAGGGAAGACUCCUUCAGGCAGCACAAUUAUGUACCUUGCAAAGGGUCACCUGGGAUAGCCCAUUGCUUAACUGGGAACCUGGAACUGGCUAUUCCUGGAAUCAGCACAGCUCACACACCUCAUCCCAUGGCUCCUGCAGCCACGUCCUCCCAGUGUUUAGAGGCCAGGUACAGGGAGCUGACUCCUGGCUAUGCUACUUCAGCUGCUGACUGUUUCUUUGCACACCUCUUCUGUCCCAGCAGUAUAAGCCCAGAAUUCAAUCCAGGAAGUCUGAAUUCAGAAAGAAAACAAGCCUAUACCACCUAAGAGACAGAACAUCUCUCUCCCUUUGCUCACUGAUUAGUACUUUUUAGCUGCUUCUAUUCCCCCUAAAACUUGCCAUUCAAGAAGUGGAGAAAAUAACUCUUCUCAUUAGCAAUAACAGUCCUGUGAAAAGAAAAAACAACUUGUCUCCCUAAUUAUGGGCAUUGUGUUCGCAGGCCAUUUGCUCUUGAUCACUUCUUUUCAGUUACUCCUCAUACUCUGCUUCAUCUUGCUUGGUAAGACAGCAGCACAAGGGGAAUAUAGUACCUCAUACUGCUCAGCUUCUUCAUUUUUGCAAACCUUAGGGAGGCCUUUUCAUCUUUCUCUCAGAGGAUAAUUAGGUACAGUGAGGGUUAAUACCAGAAGUCCAGUAAAAGCAAGUCCUGUAUAAAAAUAUUCUUUUCAGAAAUAGCAUUAUAAACAGGUGAGCCAGCAGUACUUUUUCUAGUACUGCAGUCCACUCCACUUCCCAUGGAUUUUUCUCUGUCCCAAAAUAAAAAGAACUGAAUAAGUUAAAUCUAACAAGCACCUCAAACAGAUAUCACUUCCCUGGUCAUCCAAAGGAGUGAAGACAAGAUACCUCUGUGCUUAAGAAAUUAAGUUAGAAUAAGAGACGAGCUCAGCAUCCCAAACUGGAAAGACAAAAAAAAAAAAAAAAAAAAGACAA
Long non-coding RNA from Prinia subflava (tawny-flanked prinia), 1070 nucleotides. RefSeq lists it as uncharacterized. Lineage: Eukaryota; Metazoa; Chordata; Aves; Passeriformes; Cisticolidae. The record is from RefSeq and is a predicted model, not a curated record. The transcript has 2 exons.